Mizuhopecten yessoensis (Yesso scallop) is the source of this 268-nucleotide long non-coding RNA. RefSeq lists it as uncharacterized. The record is from RefSeq and is a predicted model, not a curated record. NCBI's taxonomy places the organism in Eukaryota, Metazoa, Mollusca, Bivalvia, Pectinida, Pectinidae. The transcript has 3 exons.
UGGUAUCUCAAUCUUCCGGAGCUCGGCCACCUCCGUCUGAACUCUUCUUGUCUUACCACCUGCGUGGUAAUUCACGUUCUGUUAAGAAACGGAACUCUUUAGUGUGAAAGCAGUUCCGGCGGGUGGUGCGUCCCUAUUCACAAACCCUUUUCAGUGGCUGAGUCGUGACAGAAACGAAAUAUAUGUAUGUUGAUUUAACAAGCAAGAGACCAACAACUGCAAGUAGACGUAAAACACCAACAGACGAUGAAUUUGACUCUACAGGAAG